Molecule: unclassified non-coding RNA, 299 nt
Organism: Cebus imitator (Panamanian white-faced capuchin)
Lineage: Eukaryota; Metazoa; Chordata; Mammalia; Primates; Cebidae
Rfam family: Metazoan signal recognition particle RNA
About the family: The signal recognition particle (SRP) is a universally conserved ribonucleoprotein. It is involved in the co-translational targeting of proteins to membranes. The eukaryotic SRP consists of a 300-nucleotide 7S RNA and six proteins: SRPs 72, 68, 54, 19, 14, and 9.
Source: Ensembl
GCCAGGCACAGUCGUGCGUGCCUGUAGUCCCAGCUAUUCAGGCAGUUGAGGCUUGAUGAUCACUGGAGUCCAGGAGUUCUGGGCUGUAGUAUGCUAUGCCAAUCAGGUGUCCACACCAAGUUUGGCAUCAAUAUGGUGACCUCCUGGAAGCGGGAGACCACUAGGUUGCCUAAGGAGGGGUGAACUGGCCAAGGUCGGAAACAGAGCAGGUCAAAACUCCUGUGCUGAUCAGUAGUGGGAUCACACCUGUGAAUAGCCACUGCACUCCAGCCUGGGCAACAUAGCGAGACCCCAUCUCA